GACGAACGCUGGCGGCGUGCUUAACACAUGCAAGUCGAACGGAAAGGCCCCUUUGGGGGUACUCGAGUGGCGCACGGGUGAGUAACACGUGAGUAACCUGCCCUUGACUUCGGGAUAACUUCAGGAAACUGGGGCUAAUACCGGAUAGGAAUCCUUGCUGCAUGGUGGGGGUUGGAAAGCUUCGGCGGUUUUGGAUGGACUCGCGGCUUAUCAGCUUGUUGGUGGGGUAGUGGCUUACCAAGGCUUUGACGGGUAGCCGGCCUGAGAGGGCGACCGGCCACAUUGGGACUGAGAUACGGCCCAGACGCCUACGGGAGGCAGAGGUGGGGAAUAUUGCACAAUGGGCGGAAGCCUGAUGCAGCAACGCCGCGUGCGGGAUGACGGCCUUCGGGUUGUAAACCGCUUUCAGCAGGGGCGAAGCUUGUGGUGACGGUACCUGCAGAAGAAGCACCGGCUAACUACGUG
Molecule: ribosomal RNA, 465 nt
Filed under: uncultured bacterium
Lineage: Bacteria
Description: partial 16S ribosomal RNA
Rfam family: Bacterial small subunit ribosomal RNA
Source: RNAcentral